Small nuclear RNA from Phyllostomus hastatus (greater spear-nosed bat), 132 nucleotides. The record is from RefSeq and is a predicted model, not a curated record. NCBI's taxonomy places the organism in Eukaryota, Metazoa, Chordata, Mammalia, Chiroptera, Phyllostomidae.
GGGUUACAUGAGAGGAGAGAAGGUUAGCACUCCCCUUGACAAGGAUGCAAGAGGCUCUCUGGCCUAAAAAAAAAAAAAAGAUGAGGAACCAGUCUCUACCUUGACUUUCACUGUGACUCAGGAACUGCUUUU